GACGAACGCUGGCGGCGUGCUUAACACAUGCAAGUCGAACGGAAAGGCCCUGCUUUUGUGGGGUGCUCGAUUGGCGAACGGGUGAGUAACACGUGAGUAACCUGCCCUUGACUUUGGGAUAACUUCAGGAAACUGGGGCUAAUACCGGAUAGGAGCUCCUGCUGCAUGGUGGGGGUUGGAAAGUUUCGGCGGUUGGGGAUGGACUCGAGGCUUAUCAGCUUGUUGGUGGGGUAGUGGCUUACCAAGGCUUUGACGGGUAGCCGGCCUGAGAGGGUGGCCGGGCACAUUGGGACUGCGAUACGGCCCAGACUCCUACGGGAGGCAGCAGUGGGGAAUAUUGCACAAUGGGCGGAAGCCUGAUGCAGCAACGCCGCGUGCGGGAUGACGGCCUUCGGGUUGUAAACCGCUUUCGCCUGUGACGAAGCGUGAGUGACGGUAAUGGGUAAAGAAGCACCGGCUAACUACGUG
Molecule: ribosomal RNA, 468 nt
Filed under: uncultured bacterium
Lineage: Bacteria
Description: partial 16S ribosomal RNA
Rfam family: Bacterial small subunit ribosomal RNA
Source: RNAcentral